AAUAUUGCGCAAUGGACGGAAGUCUGACGCAGCGACGCCGCGUGAGCGAUGAAGGCCUUCGGGUCGUAAAGCUCUGUCCUUGGGGAAGAAGGCACUCGGACUUGACGGUACCCAAGAAGAGAGCACCUGCUAACUACGGCACAGCAGCCGCGGUAAGACGAAGGGGGGUAGCGUUGUCCGGAAUUACUGGGCGUAAAGGGUGCGUGGGCGGCCCUUAAGUCAGAUGUGAAAGGCCACGGCUUAACCGUGGCAUUGCAUUUGAAACUGGAGGGCUUGAGUGUCGGAGAGGGUAGUGGAAUUCCCAGUGUAGCGGUGAAAUGCGUAGAUAUUGGGGGGAACACCAGUGGCGAAGGCGACUACCUGGACGAUAACUGACGCUGAGGCACGAAAGCUAGGGGAGCAAAC
RNAcentral lists this ribosomal RNA (405 nucleotides) under uncultured bacterium. Its description in RNAcentral is "partial 16S ribosomal RNA". It matches the Rfam family "Bacterial small subunit ribosomal RNA", at positions 360 to 773 of the family's 1533-position model. The record is from RNAcentral.